Molecule: ribosomal RNA, 3088 nt
Filed under: Salmonella enterica subsp. enterica serovar Derby
Lineage: Bacteria; Pseudomonadati; Pseudomonadota; Gammaproteobacteria; Enterobacterales; Enterobacteriaceae
Description: 23S ribosomal RNA
Rfam family: Bacterial large subunit ribosomal RNA
Source: RNAcentral
GGUUAAGCGACUAAGCGUACACGGUGGAUGCCCUGGCAGUCAGAGGCGAUGAAGGGCGUGCUAAUCUGCGAUAAGCGCCGGUAAGGUGAUAUGAACCGUUAUAACCGGCGAUACCCGAAUGGGGAAACCCAGUGUGACUCGUCACACUAUCAUUAACUGAAUCCAUAGGUUAAUGAGGCGAACCGGGGGAACUGAAACAUCUAAGUACCCCGAGGAAAAGAAAUCAACCGAGAUUCCCCCAGUAGCGGCGAGCGAACGGGGAGGAGCCCAGAGCCUGAAUCAGCAUGUGUGUUAGUGGAAGCGUCUGGAAAGGCGCGCGAUACAGGGUGACAGCCCCGUACACAAAAGCGCAUGUGCUGUGAGCUCGAUGAGUAGGGCGGGACACGUGGUAUCCUGUCUGAAUAUGGGGGGACCAUCCUCCAAGGCUAAAUACUCCUGACUGACCGAUAGUGAACCAGUACCGUGAGGGAAAGGCGAAAAGAACCCCGGCGAGGGGAGUGAAAAAGAACCUGAAACCGUGUACGUACAAGCAGUGGGAGCCCCACCACUAAGCCAGUGGUGAACUCCACAUACGCAUCCUUUGCUGAGGAUACGGUUAACGGAGCGCAAGCGACGUUCAACCGCAAAAGAAGCAGAGGGGGCUUAGUGGUGGGGUGACUGCGUACCUUUUGUAUAAUGGGUCAGCGACUUAUAUUCUGUAGCAAGGUUAACCGUAUAGGGGAGCCGGAGGGAAACCGAGUCUUAAUUGGGCGUUAAGUUGCAGGGUAUAGACCCGAAACCCGGUGAUCUAGCCAUGGGCAGGUUGAAGGUUGGGUAACACUAACUGGAGGACCGAACCGACUAAUGUUGAAAAAUUAGCGGAUGACCUGUGGCUGGGGGUGAAAGGCCAAUCAAACCGGGAGAUAGCUGGUUCUCCCCGAAAGCUAUUUAGGUAGCGCCUCGUGAAUUCAUCUCCGGGGGUAGAGCACUGUUUCGGCUAGGGGGCCAUCCCGGCUUACCAACCCGAUGCAAACUGCGAAUACCGGAGAAUGUUAUCACGGGAGACACACGGCGGGUGCUAACGUCCGUCGUGAAGAGGGAAACAACCCAGACCGCCAGCUAAGGUCCCAAAGUCAUGGUUAAGUGGGAAACGAUGUGGGAAGGCCCAGACAGCCAGGAUGUUGGCUUAGAAGCAGCCAUCAUUUAAAGAAAGCGUAAUAGCUCACUGGUCGAGUCGGCCUGCGCGGAAGAUGUAACGGGGCUAAACCAUGCACCGAAGCUGCGGCAGCGAACGUAUCACUUAAAGCGAUUCAGCGGGUUACGAUUGACGGAGCGAAGCGACGUCAAAGCGUAUACAAAGUCGAGUCGGUUUAAGGAUACGUUCGUUGGGUAGGGGAGCGUUCUGUAAGCCUGUGAAGGUGGCCUGUGAGGGUUGCUGGAGGUAUCAGAAGUGCGAAUGCUGACAUAAGUAACGAUAAAGCGGGUGAAAAGCCCGCUCGCCGGAAGACCAAGGGUUCCUGUCCAACGUUAAUCGGGGCAGGGUGAGUCGACCCCUAAGGCGAGGCCGAAAGGCGUAGUCGAUGGGAAACGGGUUAAUAUUCCCGUACUUGGUGUUACUGCGAAGGGGGGACGGAGAAGGCUAUGUUGGCCGGGCGACGGUUGUCCCGGUUUAAGCGUGUAGGUGUGUGUUCCAGGUAAAUCCGGUUCACUUUAACACUGAGGCGUGAUGACGAGGCACUACGGUGCUGAAGCAACAAAUGCCCUGCUUCCAGGAAAAGCCUCUAAGCAUCAGGUAACAUCAAAUCGUACCCCAAACCGACACAGGUGGUCAGGUAGAGAAUACCAAGGCGCUUGAGAGAACUCGGGUGAAGGAACUAGGCAAAAUGGUGCCGUAACUUCGGGAGAAGGCACGCUGACAUGUAGGUGAAGUGAUUUACUCAUGGAGCUGAAGUCAGUCGAAGAUACCAGCUGGCUGCAACUGUUUAUUAAAAACACAGCACUGUGCAAACACGAAAGUGGACGUAUACGGUGUGACGCCUGCCCGGUGCCGGAAGGUUAAUUGAUGGGGUCAGCGCAAGCGAAGCUCCUGAUCGAAGCCCCGGUAAACGGCGGCCGUAACUAUAACGGUCCUAAGGUAGCGAAAUUCCUUGUCGGGUAAGUUCCGACCUGCACGAAUGGCGUAAUGAUGGCCAGGCUGUCUCCACCCGAGACUCAGUGAAAUUGAACUCGCUGUGAAGAUGCAGUGUACCCGCGGCAAGACGGAAAGACCCCGUGAACCUUUACUAUAGCUUGACACUGAACAUUGAGCCUUGAUGUGUAGGAUAGGUGGGAGGCUUUGAAGCGUGGACGCCAGUCUGCGUGGAGCCGGCCUUGAAAUACCACCCUUUAAUGUUUGAUGUUCUAACGUGGACCCGUGAUCCGGGUUGCGGACAGUGUCUGGUGGGUAGUUUGACUGGGGCGGUCUCCUCCUAAAGAGUAACGGAGGAGCACGAAGGUUGGCUAAUCCUGGUCGGACAUCAGGAGGUUAGUGCAAUGGCAUAAGCCAGCUUGACUGCGAGCGUGACGGCGCGAGCAGGUGCGAAAGCAGGUCAUAGUGAUCCGGUGGUUCUGAAUGGAAGGGCCAUCGCUCAACGGAUAAAAGGUACUCCGGGGAUAACAGGCUGAUACCGCCCAAGAGUUCAUAUCGACGGCGGUGUUUGGCACCUCGAUGUCGGCUCAUCACAUCCUGGGGCUGAAGUAGGUCCCAAGGGUAUGGCUGUUCGCCAUUUAAAGUGGUACGCGAGCUGGGUUUAGAACGUCGUGAGACAGUUCGGUCCCUAUCUGCCGUGGGCGCUGGAGAACUGAGGGGGGCUGCUCCUAGUACGAGAGGACCGGAGUGGACGCAUCACUGGUGUUCGGGUUGUCAUGCCAAUGGCACUGCCCGGUAGCUAAAUGCGGAAGAGAUAAGUGCUGAAAGCAUCUAAGCACGAAACUUGCCCCGAGAUGAGUUCUCCCUGAGACUUUAAGUCUCCUGAAGGAACGUUGAAGACGACGACGUUGAUAGGCCGGGUGUGUAAGCGCAGCGAUGCGUUGAGCUAACCGGUACUAAUGAACCGUGAGGCUUAACCUU